This 276-nucleotide ribosomal RNA is filed under the name uncultured soil bacterium. Its description in RNAcentral is "partial 16S ribosomal RNA". It matches the Rfam family "Bacterial small subunit ribosomal RNA", at positions 26 to 285 of the family's 1533-position model. The record is from RNAcentral.
AGAAUCAACGCUGGCGGCGUGCCUCAGACAUGCAAGUCGAACGCGAAAGUCCCCUUCGGGGGACGAGUAGAGUGGCGCACGGGUGAGUAACACGUAGGUAAUCUACCUUUGGAUGGGGAAUAACAACCGGAAACGGUUGCUAAUACCGCAUAAUGCAGCGGCACCUAAUGGUGACAGUUGUUAAAGCGGGGGAUCGAAAGACCUCGCGUCUGAAGAGGAGCCUGCGGCGGAUUAGCUAGUUGGUAAGGUAACGGCUUACCAAGGCGACGAUCCGUA